RNAcentral lists this long non-coding RNA (229 nucleotides) under Phoenix dactylifera (date palm). RNAcentral's name for it is "long non-coding RNA (PDAC_LNC021494)". The record is from RNAcentral. Lineage: Eukaryota; Viridiplantae; Streptophyta; Magnoliopsida; Arecales; Arecaceae.
AAAAAUGUAUUUUCUUCCUCAUUUCAUUUUAAAUAAAUUAUUCAAGUUUGAUUGAUUUUCUUUUUAUUGGUCGAGUCUAAUGUAUGCAGGUCGUGUUUGCAGCUGAACCCAUGUCCACGUCAUCCUCCCCUGUGUUAGCUUCAACCAAUCUGAGUCCCUUUCUUUAGCCCGAAACCAAGAUAGAGCCGGAGUCCUAAAAAUCCAGCCUUGCUUCCUUACCCAAAUCCCA